CCUGGCUCAGGACGAACGCUGGCGGCGUGCCUAAUACAUGCAAGUCGAGCGGAUUGAUGGGAGCUUGCUCCCUGAUAUCAGCGGCGGACGGGUGAGUAACACGUGGGUAACCUGCCUGUAAGACUGGGAUAACUCCGGGAAACCGGGGCUAAUACCGGAUAACUCAUUUCCUCGCAUGAGGAAAUGUUGAAAGGUGGCUUUUAGCUACCACUUACAGAUGGACCCGCGGCGCAUUAGCUAGUUGGUGAGGUAACGGCUCACCAAGGCAACGAUGCGUAGCCGACCUGAGAGGGUGAUCGGCCACACUGGGACUGAGACACGGCCCAGACUCCUACGGGAGGCAGCAGUAGGGAAUCUUCCGCAAUGGACGAAAGUCUGACGGAGCAACGCCGCGUGAGUGAUGAAGGUUUUCGGAUCGUAAAGCUCUGUUGUUAGGGAAGAACAAGUACCGUUCGAAUAGGGCGGUACCUUGACGGUACCUAACCAGAAAGCCACGGCUAACUACGUGCCAGCAGCCGCGGUAAUAC
This 527-nucleotide ribosomal RNA is filed under the name marine sediment bacterium ISA-3163. RNAcentral describes it as "bacterial SSU rRNA". It matches the Rfam family "Bacterial small subunit ribosomal RNA", at positions 18 to 526 of the family's 1533-position model. The record is from RNAcentral.